RNAcentral lists this ribosomal RNA (465 nucleotides) under uncultured bacterium. Its description in RNAcentral is "partial 16S ribosomal RNA". It matches the Rfam family "Bacterial small subunit ribosomal RNA", at positions 28 to 507 of the family's 1533-position model. The record is from RNAcentral.
GACGAACGCUGGCGGCGUGCUUAACACAUGCAAGUCGAACGGAAAGGCCCUGCUUGCGGUGUACUCGAGUGGCGAACGGGUGAGUAACACGUGGGUGGACUGCCCUGCUCUUCGGCUUAAGCCUGUGAAACUGGGUCGAAUUCCUGAUGGGAGCCAUUUUUAGCGUGAUGGUUGGAAAGUUUUUUCGGUUUUUGGUGAGCUCGUGGCCUAUCAGCUCGUUGGUGUGGUAAUGGACUACCAAGGCGGCGUCGGGUAGCCGGACUGAGUGGGUGGCCGGCCACACUGGGACUGACGGGCGGCACAGACACGUAAGGGAGGACGAAGGGGGGAAGCUUGAACAAGGGGCGCCAGCUGGGUGAAGAAAGGCCGCGGGGGGGAUGACGGUCUUAGGGUUGAAGAACACUUUCGCUAGGGACGAAGCUUUUUGUGACGGUACCUAGACAAGAAGCACCGGCUAACUACGUG